RNAcentral lists this ribosomal RNA (305 nucleotides) under uncultured bacterium. RNAcentral's name for it is "bacterial SSU rRNA". It matches the Rfam family "Bacterial small subunit ribosomal RNA", at positions 61 to 633 of the family's 1533-position model. The record is from RNAcentral.
CUCCUCCUUUCCCCCGCAGUAGGGAAUCUUCCACAAUGGGCGAAAGCCUGAUGGAGCAACGCCGCGUGGGUGAAGAAGGUCUUCGGAUCGUAAAACCCUGUUGUUAGAGAAGAAAGUGCGUGAGAGUAACUGUUCACGUUUCGACGGUAUCUAACCACAAAGCCACGGCUAACUACGUGCCAGCAGCCGCGGUAAUACGUAGGUGGCAAGCGUUAUCCGGAUUUAUUGGGCGUAAAGGGAACGCAGGCGGUCUUUUAAGUCUGAUGUGAAAUCCUUCGGCUUAACCGGAGUAGUGCAUUGGAAAC